Long non-coding RNA from Camponotus floridanus (Florida carpenter ant), 1801 nucleotides. RefSeq lists it as uncharacterized. The record is from RefSeq and is a predicted model, not a curated record. NCBI's taxonomy places the organism in Eukaryota, Metazoa, Arthropoda, Insecta, Hymenoptera, Formicidae. The transcript is spliced from 6 exons.
CUUAUGCAAAAGUGUGUGCUGCGGCCUUAAAGAUGAAUUCUUACGUUAUGCAAGCAGAUUUCAAGAAAUUACUAUGUCUUAUGUACUAAUUUUUCUAACCUAUUUUAGGAGAUUUCAUCUAGCAAAGGAGAUUUCAUUUAGCAAAUCUAAAAAGGAAAAUAAUAUUGGUUAUUGAAAUGGAUCAUAGUUUUUAUUUUUAUGAUUCUCAAUAUCAAAAUGAUUUUAAUGAAUUAAAUAAUGAAGAUGAUUCACAAAAUGAAAAGGAGAAUUCUUAUGGAAUAGAUCAAAAUGGAAUAGAUGGAGAUGCUUCCCAGAUAGCCAAGCUUGAUAUGACAUAUUCAGCAAACAAAUGCAUCGCAUGUAUUAUUAUAUAUUUGCAGUAUACUUGCUGACAUCGAGAUAGAAUACGUUACGAAUGCAGCUAUAUGUCUGCUUCUAUAUGCAAAUAAUUAACGAAGCAAAUGGUCUGCAAUAUUGAUAUAUUACGUUGUCUACAACAUGUCAGCAAUAUGUUGACACGUUGCAAUUAAUUUGUUGUUAUUAGCACAUGAAUUCAUGUGAGUUCCACGUAACAGACAUUAUGCUGUCUCACCUUGUCUCUAGUUUGUUAAAAUUAGUUGAUUCAAUAAUUAUUGGCAACAUGACAGCAACCUCAUUGCAUUUGGCUAUCUGGGUUUGCUCAUAUCUUUAGUGCGCAACUAUCCCUAUUUAUAUAAUAAAGAGUUAACUGACUUCAAAGAUAUUAUUAAAAAGCAGAAUGCCUGGACAGAAAUAGGAAAUAUAUUAAAUAUGACAGCGGACGAGUGUCAAUCUAGGUGGACACGAUUAAGAGAACGAUAUGCAAGAGAGAAAAAGCAAAAAUAGGAAGAAACAACUACUGGAAGUGGUGCUUUAAAGAGGAAGUCUUUCGAAUUUUUUGAAAAUAUGCAGUUCUUAGAACGAUUUGUUAAGAGAAGAAGAACAAUAUCCAAUGUGUAUAAGAAAACAUACCUCCAUCAACAAAAUGUAUCAAUCUUCAAAAAAAUUUUGGUUCACGUGGCGGAGAAAACUCAACUUCUUCAAUGAUCGAGUCUACUUUAAUUUUACCAUCUUCAAAAGAUAGCAGUGAAAAAACAGAUUCAGAAAAAAAUAUAAUUAAAAUAGAUUUAACUGAAAAUAGAUUUAAUGAAAAACGAAUCAAUAAAUCUCCUAUACCUAAUAGUUUAGUUCAGCAAUCUUUAACAAAAGAUACAGAUUUGACACAUAAAUAUAAAAGAUUCAAUUUCAGAUGAUUGCUCAAAUAAUACCUCUUCAUCAGUAUUAAAUAUUUCUAAUGAUUUGAGGAAGAAAAAUUUUACUGUACAACGAAAAAUCACCGGACGUCAUAGAAAAUGCUAUUUGUAAAGUUUCAUCUCUAUUAGAGAACAAAUUCAUUCCAACAGCUGCAUCAUCAUCAUCAAUAUUAAAUCUAGAAAUAACAGAAAAUAUGGCUUUUUGCCAAUUAAUAUUAUCUUCACUUAACGCGAUGUCUCCACAAAAAAAUGCAGAGAAAAAAAAAGAAAUGCUACGUAUUAUAUACGAUAUUUAAAAUCUAAAAUCUUAAUAGAACUCCGAUUAUCCAGACGAUUAGUUAUCCAAAAGUUUGCUGCAAAAGAUUUUGUUUACGAUUUUUUUCUUGUUAUGAUUAUUAUAUAAUAAAUAGUAAAUACAUAUAUAAUUUAUUUCAGGACGUUCUAUUUUUUGGAUAAUCGGUGUUCUGUAUAUCACUGAUACUGAUGUAAUACUGAUGACGCUGUGAUGUAUUACUACACACUGUGAUAUU